AAAAUUCUUUGUAUACGGCGGAUUUGUCGACAUGCCCGGGAAUUGUGUAAUCCAAGGCGUGACAGGAAUUGCGGAAUUGUACGAUACCGUAUGUAAAAGUUCAGUGGAGCAAUCAUGAGAAACGUGAAGUCACUUGGGAACUUGAGGACGUGAUGCGGGAACACCAUCCUCAUCUUUUCGAACAUUAAAGUUGAAGUAUGAGUUGAGUUUGAGAUAGAUUGAAUUGAGUUUCGAGGACGAAACUCUUUUAAAGGGGUAGGAAGUGUAAGGUAUCGGCUCCCCGGAGCGUCGU
Molecule: long non-coding RNA, 292 nt
Filed under: Ananas comosus (pineapple)
Lineage: Eukaryota; Viridiplantae; Streptophyta; Magnoliopsida; Poales; Bromeliaceae
Description: long non-coding RNA (ACOM_LNC012355)
Source: RNAcentral